This 922-nucleotide ribosomal RNA is filed under the name uncultured Bacillota bacterium. RNAcentral describes it as "bacterial SSU rRNA". It matches the Rfam family "Bacterial small subunit ribosomal RNA", at positions 1 to 917 of the family's 1533-position model. The record is from RNAcentral. Lineage: Bacteria; Bacillati; Bacillota.
UGGAUCCAGACUUUGAUCCUGGCUCAGGACGAACGCUGGCGGCGUGCCUAACACAUGCAAGUCGAACGGAACUUUUUUAAAAGAUUUCUUCGGAAUGAAUUUGAUUAAGUUUAGUGGCGGACGGGUGAGUAACGCGUGAGUAACCUGCCUCUAAGAGGGGAAUAACAUUCUGAAAAGAAUGCUAAUACCGCAUAAUAUAUAUUUAUCGCAUGGUAGAUAUAUCAAAGAUUUAUCGCUUAGAGAUGGACUCGCGUCCGAUUAGUUAGUUGGUGAGGUAACGGCUCACCAAGACUGCGAUCGGUAGCCGGACUGAGAGGUUGAACGGCCACAUUGGGACUGAGACACGGCCCAGACUCCUACGGGAGGCAGCAGUGGGGGAUAUUGCGCAAUGGGGGAAACCCUGACGCAGCAACGCCGCGUGAAGGAUGAAGGUCUUCGGAUUGUAAACUUCUUGUAUUAAGGACGAAGAAAGUGACGGUACUUAAUGAAUAAGCUCCGGCUAACUACGUGCCAGCAGCCGCGGUAAUACGUAGGGAGCAAGCGUUGUCCGGAUUUACUGGGUGUAAAGGGUGCGUAGGCGGCUUUGCAAGUCAGAUGUGAAAUCUAUGAGCUCAACCCAUAGCCUGCAUUUGAAACUGCAGAGCUUGAGUGAAGUAGAGGCAGGCGGAAUUCCCCGUGUAGCGGUGAAAUGCGUAGAGAUGGGGAGGAACACCAGUGGCGAAGGCGGCCUGCUGGGCUUUAACUGACGCUGAGGCACGAAAGCGUGGGUAGCAAACAGGAUUAGAUACCCUGGUAGUCCACGCUGUAAACGAUGAUUACUAGGUGUGGGGGGUUCUGACCCCUUCCGUGCCGGAGUUAACACAAUAAGUAAUCCACCUGGGGAGUACGGCCGCAAGGUUGCAAACUCAAAGGAAUUGACGGA